AUGAACGCUGGCGGCGUGCCUAAUACUUGCAAGUCGCGCGAACGGACGAGAAGCUUGCUUCUCUGAUGUUAGCGGCGGACGGGUGAGUAACACGUGGAUAACCUACCUAUAAGACUGGGAUAACUUCGGGAAACCGGAGCUAAUACCGGAUAAUAUUUUGAACCGCAUGGUUCAAAAGUGAAAGACGGUCUUGCUGUCACUUAUAGAUGGAUCCGCGCUGCAUUAGCUAGUUGGUAAGGUAACGGCUUACCAAGGCAACGAUGCAUAGCCGACCUGAGAGGGUGAUCGGCCACACUGGAACUGAGACACGGUCCAGACUCCUACGGGAGGCAGCAGUAGGGAAUCUUCCGCAAUGGGCGAAGGCCUGACGGAGCAACGCCGCGUGAGUGAUGAAGGUCUUCGGAUCGUAAAACUCUGUUAUUAGGGAAGAACAUAUGUGUAAGUAACUGUGCACAUCUUGACGGUACCUAAUCAGAAAGCCACGGCUAACUACGUG
This 496-nucleotide ribosomal RNA is filed under the name uncultured bacterium. RNAcentral's name for it is "partial 16S ribosomal RNA". It matches the Rfam family "Bacterial small subunit ribosomal RNA", at positions 29 to 507 of the family's 1533-position model. The record is from RNAcentral.